CUAUUAGGCUCUCUCGGAAACACGCCGCCGUGAGUGAAGAAGGGUUUCGGCUCGUAAAGCUCUGUUGGUAGUGAAGAAAGAUAGAGGUAGUAACUGGCCUUUAUUUGACGGUAAUUACCUAGAAAGUCACGGCUAACUACGUGCCAGCAGCCGCGGUAAUACGUAGGUGGCAAGCGUUGUCCGGAUUUAUUGGGCGUAAAGCGAGUGCAGGCGGUUCAAUAAGUCUGAUGUGAAAGCCUUCGGCUCAACCGGAGAAUUGCAUCAGAAACUGUUGAACUUGAGUGCAGAAGAGGAGAGUGGAACUCCAUGUGUAGCGGUGAAAUAAA
This 326-nucleotide ribosomal RNA is filed under the name uncultured Lactobacillus sp. RNAcentral describes it as "bacterial SSU rRNA". It matches the Rfam family "Bacterial small subunit ribosomal RNA", at positions 375 to 690 of the family's 1533-position model. Lineage: Bacteria; Bacillati; Bacillota; Bacilli; Lactobacillales; Lactobacillaceae. The record is from RNAcentral.